Molecule: transfer RNA, 73 nt
Filed under: Caudoviricetes sp.
Lineage: Duplodnaviria; Heunggongvirae; Uroviricota; Caudoviricetes
Description: tRNA-Glu
Rfam family: tRNA
About the family: Transfer RNA (tRNA) molecules are approximately 80 nucleotides in length. Their secondary structure includes four short double-helical elements and three loops (D, anti-codon, and T loops). Further hydrogen bonds mediate the characteristic L-shaped molecular structure. tRNAs have two regions of fundamental functional importance: the anti-codon, which is responsible for specific mRNA codon recognition, and the 3' end, to which the tRNAs corresponding amino acid is attached (by aminoacyl-tRNA synthetases). tRNAs cope with the degeneracy of the genetic code in two manners: having more than one tRNA (with a specific anti-codon) for a particular amino acid; and 'wobble' base-pairing, i.e. permitting non-standard base-pairing at the 3rd anti-codon position.
Source: RNAcentral
GGUCUCAUCGUCUAUCGGUAAGGACGCGAGAUUUUCAUUCUCGAAAGGGAGGGUUCGAUUCCCCCUGAGACUA